GGCAUCAAAAGAGUGCAUGACCUUGGCAAUAAAAUAGGUAGGACUUUUAUCCUCAGUUUCUGGAUGCUCAGUUCCGUUUGAAGUUGUAUCAUGCAAAACUCUUGGUGAAUUUGAAGAUUGUGGAGGUGACUCACUUAAUUGCUCUUCUACAAGCAUCUCAGAAUGCAACUUCUCCAAAAUGGAAACAACAUUCUGAUGAUACGAUCUUUCAGCAUCGACCAUGGUAAGAAGCUUUUGGAAAGUAAUCUGUUG
This 252-nucleotide unclassified non-coding RNA is filed under the name Hevea brasiliensis (rubber tree). The record is from RNAcentral. Lineage: Eukaryota; Viridiplantae; Streptophyta; Magnoliopsida; Malpighiales; Euphorbiaceae.